AGAACGAACGCUGGCGGCGUGCCUAACACAUGCAAGUCGAGCGCGAAUGGAGCAAUCCUAGUAGAGCGGCGCACGGGUGCGUAACACGUGGGUAAUCUGCCUAGAAGCCUGGGAUAACCAGUCGAAAGAUUGGCUAAUACCAGAUAAGCUCCCGGGGACUUCGGUCCUUGAGAGAAAAGGUGGCCUCUGUAUACAAGCUAUCACUUCUAGAUGAGCCCGCGGCCCAUCAGCUAGUUGGCGGGGUAAUGGCCCACCAAGGCAACGACGGGUAGCUGGUCUGAGAGGACGAUCAGCCACACUGGAACUGAGACACGGUCCAGACUCCUACGGGAGGCAGCAGUGGGGAAUUUUGCGCAAUGGGCGAAAGCCUGACGCAGCAACGCCGCGUGUGUGAUGAAGGUCUUCGGAUUGUAAAGCACUUUCGACCGGGACGAAAACCCUGAAGUUAACACCUUCAGGCUUGACGGUACCGGGAGAAGAAGCACCGGCUAACUCUGUGCCAGCAGCCGCGGUAA
Molecule: ribosomal RNA, 515 nt
Filed under: uncultured delta proteobacterium
Lineage: Bacteria; Deltaproteobacteria
Description: bacterial SSU rRNA
Rfam family: Bacterial small subunit ribosomal RNA
Source: RNAcentral